This 45-nucleotide non-coding RNA is filed under the name Schistosoma margrebowiei. Lineage: Eukaryota; Metazoa; Platyhelminthes; Trematoda; Strigeidida; Schistosomatidae. The record is from RNAcentral.
AUUCAGCUGAUGAGUCCCAAAUUAGACGAAACGCGCGUUCUCAAU